Molecule: ribosomal RNA, 428 nt
Filed under: Bacteroidota bacterium
Lineage: Bacteria; Pseudomonadati; Bacteroidota
Description: Bacteroidetes bacterium partial 16S ribosomal RNA
Rfam family: Bacterial small subunit ribosomal RNA
Source: RNAcentral
UAGGGAAUCUUCCGCAAUGGACGCAAGUCUGACGGAGCAACGCCGCGUGAGUGAAGAAGGAUUUCGGUUCGUAAAACUCUGUUGUUAGAGAAGAACAGCGCAUAGAGUAACUGUUAUGCGUGUGACGGUAUCUAACCAGAAAGCCACGGCUAACUACGUGCCAGCAGCCGCGGUAAUACGUAGGUGGCAAGCGUUGUCCGGAUUUAUUGGGCGUAAAGCGAGCGCAGGCGGUUGGAUAAGUCUGAAGUUAAAGGCAGUGGCUCAACCAUUGUAGGCUUUGGAAACUGUUUAACUUGAGUGCAGAAGGGGAGAGUGGAAUUCCAUGUGUAGCGGUGAAAUGCGUAGAUAUAUGGAGGAACACCGGUGGCGAAAGCGGCUCUCUGGUCUGUAACUGACGCUGAGGCUCGAAAGCGUGGGGAGCGAACAGG